GCCCGGGUGGUGAAAUUGGUAAACACAUCGGACUUAAAAUCCGACGAGGGGCAACUCUCCUACCGGUUCGAUUCCGGUUCCGGGCACCA
RNAcentral lists this transfer RNA (89 nucleotides) under Burkholderiales bacterium. Its description in RNAcentral is "tRNA-Leu". It matches the Rfam family "tRNA". From Rfam's summary of the family: Transfer RNA (tRNA) molecules are approximately 80 nucleotides in length. Their secondary structure includes four short double-helical elements and three loops (D, anti-codon, and T loops). Further hydrogen bonds mediate the characteristic L-shaped molecular structure. tRNAs have two regions of fundamental functional importance: the anti-codon, which is responsible for specific mRNA codon recognition, and the 3' end, to which the tRNAs corresponding amino acid is attached (by aminoacyl-tRNA synthetases). tRNAs cope with the degeneracy of the genetic code in two manners: having more than one tRNA (with a specific anti-codon) for a particular amino acid; and 'wobble' base-pairing, i.e. permitting non-standard base-pairing at the 3rd anti-codon position. The record is from RNAcentral. Lineage: Bacteria; Pseudomonadati; Pseudomonadota; Betaproteobacteria; Burkholderiales.